RNAcentral lists this transfer RNA (90 nucleotides) under Thermoplasmata archaeon. RNAcentral describes it as "tRNA-Ala". It matches the Rfam family "tRNA". From Rfam's summary of the family: Transfer RNA (tRNA) molecules are approximately 80 nucleotides in length. The record is from RNAcentral. Lineage: Archaea; Methanobacteriati; Thermoplasmatota; Thermoplasmata.
GGGCCGGUAGAUCAGUUGGAAGAUCGCCUGCUUUGCAAGCAGGAGGUCGUGGGUUCAAAGGCUGCAUGGCUGAACAUCCCACCCGGUCCA